UUAGUACUCCCUCCGUCUGAAAAUACUUGUCAUCAAAAUAGAUAAAAGAAGAUGUAUCUAGAUGUAUUUUAGUUCUAGACGCAUAAUUUUUAUCCAUUUUGAUGACAAGUAUUUUCGGACAGAGGGAGUACUGU
Molecule: non-coding RNA, 134 nt
Organism: Triticum aestivum (bread wheat)
Lineage: Eukaryota; Viridiplantae; Streptophyta; Magnoliopsida; Poales; Poaceae
Source: Rfam